This 407-nucleotide ribosomal RNA is filed under the name Penaeus semisulcatus. RNAcentral describes it as "partial 12S ribosomal RNA". The record is from RNAcentral. Lineage: Eukaryota; Metazoa; Arthropoda; Malacostraca; Decapoda; Penaeidae.
CUGGAAACCAGGGAUUAGAUACCCUGUUACACUUUAUUUAAAUUAUAAUUACCUGGGUACUAAACAGUUAUUAUCUUGAAACUCAAAGGAUUUGGCGGUAACUUAGUCUAUUUAGAGGAACCUGUCCUGUAAUCGAUAGUCCACGAAAAAUCUUACUUUAUCUUGUAAAAACAGUUUGUAUACCGUCAUUAUUAGGUAACUUUUAUAAAAGGCGAAGUUACUAAAAUAGUCUAGCUAAUAUAUUAGAUCAAGGUGCAGCUAAUGGUAAAGGAGGAGAUGGGUUACAAUACACUAAAGUAAACGGAACAAUAAAUGAAUAUUUACUGAUAAAGGUGGAUUUAAGAGUAAAAUAAUUUUAACAAGAUUAUUUGACUUUAGCUCUAGGUUAUGUACAUAUCGCCCGUCGC